Long non-coding RNA from Canis lupus familiaris (dog), 618 nucleotides. RefSeq lists it as uncharacterized. Lineage: Eukaryota; Metazoa; Chordata; Mammalia; Carnivora; Canidae. The transcript has 4 exons. The record is from RefSeq and is a predicted model, not a curated record.
CGUCACCGUCACCGUCACCGUCACCCUCGCCGUCAGCUGCCUCCAUGACCUGGUCUGCUCCCCCGCCGUGGUCAGGGUCCGUGAGAGCAGCGAGGUGAUGGUCACCCACUGGCAGAUGGCAAUGAGGACAGCACGCUAUCCUGUGACUAUCAGGGCCCUCUGCCAGGCAGCGUGGGGAGCGUCUCUGGUCCAGACUCCGCCGCCGCCGCCGCCGUGCAUCCUGCCCCUCCCAGGCUGGGGAGAGACAUCAGCCCACCUGAGGGAAAGAAGCAGAGACUGAUGGGAGUCCCACCACCUCUAACUGGCUCUGUCUGUGUCCCAGGGCCCACGGGGAGGGCUCAGACACCUGGAGCUGACGCUGGAGCUAAGAAGGGGUCAGGACCACGUGGGGUCAGGCUGCACCUGGGCCCUCACCGGGAUCGGAGGUGCCGGCCCGGGAGCCUCGCCCCUGCUCCUGAGCGGCUAUGACCUCCUGUGAGUGCUCACUGUGCCCCAGGGCCUGGCUCUCAAUCCUACUACUGCCCCGAGGAGGGAAGGGGGUUUGGGUGGCUGGGGGCGGUGGAGGCCUCACUUUUUUUUCUUAACCAAGGCAGUGAAGGCCUAGAGAGUGUCCGUGAC